This 471-nucleotide ribosomal RNA is filed under the name uncultured bacterium. Its description in RNAcentral is "bacterial SSU rRNA". It matches the Rfam family "Bacterial small subunit ribosomal RNA", at positions 28 to 513 of the family's 1533-position model. The record is from RNAcentral.
GACGAACGCUGGCGGCGUGCUUAACACAUGCAAGUCGAGCGGUAAGGCCCUUUCGGGGGUACACGAGCGGCGAACGGGUGAGUAACACGUGGGUGACCUGCCCUCAGCUCUGGGAUAAGCCUGGGAAACCGGGUCUAAUACUGGAUAUGACUCCAUGACGCAUGUUGUGGGGUGGAAAGCCUUGUGCGGCUGAGGAUGGGCCCGCGGCCUAUCAGCUUGUUGGUGGGGUGAUGGCCUACCAAGGCGACGACGGGUAGCCGGCCUGAGAGGGCGACCGGCUACACUGGGACUGAGACACGGCCCAGACUCCUACGGGAGGCAGCAGUGGGGAAUCUUGCGCAAUGGGCGAAAGCCUGACGCAGCGACGCCGCGUGAGGGAUGACGGCCUUCCGGUUGUAAACCUCUUUCAGCUCCGACGAAGCGAGAGUGACGGUAGGAGCAGAAGAAGCACCGGCCAACUACGUGCCAGCA